AUUGAACGCUGGCGGCGUGGCUAAAGCAUGCAAGUCGAGCGAACCCGCAAGGGUGAGCGGCGGACGGGUUAGUAAUACGAUCGAACGUACCUCGAGGUGGGGAUAGCGACGGGAACUGUGCGUAAUACCCCAUGAUCUCUCCGGAGCAAAGGUUUACCGCCUUGAGAGUCGGCGAUCGUCCUAUCAGCUAGUUGGCGGGGUAAAGGCCCACCAAGGCUAUGACGGGUAGCAGGUGNGAGAGCACGACCUGCAACAUCGGGACUGAGACACUGCCCCGGACUCCUACGGGAGGCUGCAGCGACGAAUCUUCCGCAAUGGGCGCAAGCCUGACGGAGCGACG
This 340-nucleotide ribosomal RNA is filed under the name uncultured bacterium. Its description in RNAcentral is "bacterial SSU rRNA". It matches the Rfam family "Bacterial small subunit ribosomal RNA", at positions 30 to 396 of the family's 1533-position model. The record is from RNAcentral.